RNAcentral lists this ribosomal RNA (481 nucleotides) under uncultured bacterium. Its description in RNAcentral is "partial 16S ribosomal RNA". It matches the Rfam family "Bacterial small subunit ribosomal RNA", at positions 28 to 507 of the family's 1533-position model. The record is from RNAcentral.
GAUGAACGCUGGCGGCGUGCUUAACACAUGCAAGUCGAACGAAGCAUUUAGGACAGAUUACUUCGGUUUGAAGUUCUUUAUGACUGAGUGGCGGACGGGUGAGUAACGCGUGGGUAACCUGCCUUGUACUGGGGGAUAGCAGCUGGAAACGGUUGGUAAUACCGCAUAAGCGCACAAUGUUGCAUGACAUGGUGUGAAAAACUCCGGUGGUAUAAGAUGGACCCGCGUCUGAUUAGCUAGUUGGUGAGAUAACAGCCCACCAAGGCGACGAUCAGUAGCCGACCUGAGAGGGUGACCGGCCACAUUGGGACUGAGACACGGCCCAGACUCCUACGGGAGGCAGCAGUGGGGAAUAUUGCACAAUGGAGGAAACUCUGAUGCAGCGACGCCGCGUGAGUGAAGAAGUAAUUCGUUAUGUAAAGCUCUAUCAGCAGGGAAGAUAGUGACGGUACCUGACUAAGAAGCUCCGGCUAAAUACGUG